AUGUAUUCGUUGAAGACAACAAAAGAAUUUUGUAUAACAUUGCACGAUUUCUCUCCAAACAUGCCCUCAUUUUCAUAGCCAAAUUUGCAUAAAAUGGCGGCGUCUUCAACUGGAUUCCUCUCUAAAGCAAGGACGGCCUUCCACUAAAGCCAAGAAAGUCUUCACCGACAUACAAAAAAAAAUUGAGAUCUAUGUUUGUGUGUGUGUGUGUGUGUAUGUGUAUGUUUUUAAGGUUUGUGUUGAGUUUGUAUCGUAUACUUUAUUAUGUGACUCUUGACUAAUUAUCUGAAUCAUCUCUGAUACUGAAGAUAUGGCCGACCAAUCGUUGUUUGAUGAGAAAAACGAUUCCCUUGAUGAUGUGAUCGUUCAAGGGACGUUAACUGACAAGGUUGUUUCAGUAUAAAAAAUGUGUGUAUCCACUCUCAAACGGUGGUGGUAUGUACAAAAUGGCAAACCAUGUUAAUGCCAAUCGACGGUGGUCACUUGUGAUUGAUGGAGGAACCCGUAUGGUUUUUGGUGAGUCAUAUAAGACAAACAGUUUUCAUCUGUAACCCUAUGGUUUCUGGUGGGUAGGAUCUUACUGAAGGAUUCAAGGAUAUCAACUACUAAAAAUUGAAAGUGA
Long non-coding RNA from Helianthus annuus (common sunflower), 622 nucleotides. RefSeq lists it as uncharacterized. The record is from RefSeq and is a predicted model, not a curated record. The transcript is spliced from 3 exons. Lineage: Eukaryota; Viridiplantae; Streptophyta; Magnoliopsida; Asterales; Asteraceae.